Molecule: long non-coding RNA, 4951 nt
Organism: Hippocampus zosterae (dwarf seahorse)
Lineage: Eukaryota; Metazoa; Chordata; Actinopteri; Syngnathiformes; Syngnathidae
Exons: 3
Source: RefSeq, a predicted model, not a curated record
UGUUGCUCGAUUGUUCUGUUUUUCAGUUGACUUUGUUCAGUGCAGACUGCACUGAUAUUUUGUAAGCGAAAGAGAGAUUCCAUUAAUUUACCAAAGUUUGGUGACUUUACAAUGCCACAGAGAACUUUCAGAAAUUUCAGCAUGAUGCAAGUUGAGAAAUAUGUGAGGGCUUUUUUUUCGUCACACCUUCUCAGUACAUGUCAGUCCCUUACAUCCUGUUGGUUUUAAUGCACUCUAAGUGACUAGCAUCAGUUCAGUUUUGGUUUGAAAAUUAAACUGCACGAUUGUCUCAUUUGGACAUGGUCAGGGAAAGAAAAGAUAUAUUGUUCCCAUGCUACAGUUACUUUUCAUGAAGGAAAAUGUUUUAAUAAAGUAAUGGUAAAUACACAGCAUAACCUAAUGCACACUUUAAAAAGCAUUGAUCUGCCAAAAUAAGGUGAAGAAAACGGAUAAAGUGCACAUCAAUUGACUUUGCUAUGAAUGUUAAGGUUUCAGUGAUAUUUGUCAUUUUGUUUUGGACACAAAUCAGAAACUCACCUCGAAACAAGCUGUUCCAGGAAAGUGUGUUUUAAGGUCAUUUAUAUCUGCUUUUAUUCGUUGAGCAAGUAGCUGUCAACGUGCAUCUUAUGUGAGUGUAUUUUGAGGAAGCCUAUUUAGCAGAAAAAGGAAGUCAAGCACUGUACGAAAAUAUCCAGCAUGUAAAGAAAAUGAGCCCAGCACAACCUUCAGCAAAUUGUCCUUUAAAAAAAAGACACUUUGAAUUAUUAAACAGCUAUACCUGUAAUCCACAUUCCUAACCAUCAGGACUCAUCAAAGUGGUCAAGAUUUAUAGAUUAUGUACUACUCUAGAAUGUAGAUCAGUGAUUCUCAAACUUUUUACAACAAAUAUCACAUUGCUCUCUAAUGGUCAACAUUAAAAUACAGUUGUAUUGUAGGCCUAAGAAUUUAUCUAAAAUCAGGCCAAGGUUUUAUUCCCAAAACUGUAUUUAAUAUUUGUGUUCACCGCUGUAACAUGAUGUUUUACACAGUUCAAACUAUGCCUGUAUAGCUGCCAAAUGUGAUGGAUCGUCCGUAUUUUGUUAUGGAAAUCACUGAACGCAAACUUGUAACGGCCGUAACACUGACAGUUCUGGAUAUUUUUCAAAAUUUGGGUCACUUAAUUGCUCAAAUAGGCUGAAAACGAGCAAAGCGAGUUCACAGAAGUAGUAGCAGUGCUCUCUUCUCUCUCUCUCUCUCUCUCUCUCUCUCUCUCUCUCUCUCUCUCUCUCUCUCUCUCGCUCUCUCUUCAGGACAAGUCUGAAAUGCAUUAAAACCUUCACAGGUGAACUUAAUGUGACCUUGUCUAAGUUUUUGAAUGCAUAAGUGUCCCACUGUUAAAUAUUUCAGUACUGCACAAGUUGCUGUUCUCUACUGAGGAGCUAAAUGGCAAAAUUCACAACAGGCGUUCUUGAAUCGACGAAUAAAUGUCCUGGUUCAGUUCGAGCUCAUGCUAAAACAGUGGUCCUCAUCAUGCCGUUCACAUUUUGAUCAUAAGACCAAGAUGACACCUAACAAUGGAUCAACAGUACCUUGCCUUUAUAAUGCUUCAAACAGGACGUUCUCAGACAGGAAGUGGCCACUGAGCUUAGAGUGCCACAGAGUGUCUGCUGUAAGUUCCAUUAGAGACACAGAGAGAGUGGAAGAGUCACAGAAAAAUGUGGAAGUGGACGUCCUUUAAGCACAUCCCAUGCUGAUGACCACUACAUUGUGAACAUCAUGCCCUGAGAAAGCGGAUGAUGAAUGCCACUAAACUCCAGCCACGUUUAAGGGAGAUGACAGGCACCCAAGUGUCACGUCAGACCAUUUCAAACCGUUUACAUCAGCUUGGUCUCGUGCUAGACGAACUGCAAGGGUACCUGACCACACCACCGGGCAAAGGGAUCAUCGUCUUGGAUGGGCCAGGGAGCAUUCACGCUGGACAAGGAAGCAGUGGGCCUCAGUGCUGUUCUCUGAUGAAAGGCGAUUCACUUUAUGCAGAAAUGAUGGCCACUAACAAUUUUGGAGGCAUCAUGGAGAGCCCUGUACAUCAGCCACUGUUGUCACCAGACGAGUUUUUGGUGGUGGUGGUGGUGUUGCAGUGUGAGCAGGUGUGUCCAGUCAGAACAGAACUGCUCUACACUUUGUGAAUGGUACAGUGACAAGCCCAUACUAUCUGAAAAAACAUUAUGAAUUCAGUCCUGCUCCAUCUUAUCGAGGUUGCAUCAUCAAGGCUGUUGGAGAAUGGUGUACCAAAAAAUGGAAUGGCCUGCACUUUCUCCAGAACUUCAAUGGUUUAAGGGCUGCCCUUCAAGAAUGCCUCAGCAGACAAUAAGUGUGAACAGCAUGAGAUGUCAUUGUCAAGCUGUAAUUGGUGCUCAAGGACACAUGACAAGUUAUUGAAAUGUUGACAUUUUUUGUUGUGUUGUACCAUUGCUCUUAACUUUUGUCUCAAUUAAUUAUUUGAGAUAAGGAAAUCACCAGUGCAUCAUUGUACAUACUACGUACUUUCAUGAUAUGAUAUCACUGUAGCGUGAACUUUUUACAGUUUUCAUAAAUUUCACCUGGUAGCCAAAUAUCCUGAAUUUAGCCACAAGGGGGCACAAGCCAGUAUCUUAUUGUGCCGGUCCCAAGCCCGGAUAAAUACAGAGGGUUGUGUCAGGAAGGCCAUCCGAUGUAAAAUAUUCUGCCAAAACAAACAUGCAAAAGAUGAAGAGAGCAAAAGCAGAGGACAAAAUGGUGGAAGCGCAAAAAGGAAAAGUGUCGCAUGACUUUUAGGAAGGACUUGAGACAAGCACUGGGUGGUCAGGAGGUGCUUCCAGAUGACUGGACAACUAUAGCUAAUGUGAUCAGGGAGAUAGGAGAGAGGUACUUGGUAUAUCAUUUGGAAGUAAAGUAGAUAAAGAGACUUGGUGGUGGAAUGAAGAGAUGCAGGAGUGUAUACAGAGAAAGAAAAAGUGGAAUAUUGAGAGGACAGGGAGAUGCAGCACACAGUGAAAGUAGAGGUGGUGAAGGCCAAACAAGGCCUACGAUGACUUGUAUGCUCGGCUGGACAGCAAGUUUGUUUGCCACGGCCUUCACCCUGGGCAGGUUGAACCGCCUUCUUCCUUGGCGCGCACGACAUCCCUGAUCAUGGCGGCCCAAGCGUGGCGAUCCUGUGCCAGGUCAACCGACAGCUUCAGCCAGUCCUGGUUCCACCGUCUCAGACCCACCACCUGGGGGCCGGAAAGGCUGGCAAAGGAGCAGGAAGGAGAACAUCCCUGACCAACUCGCCGUCCUGGUGGCGUGCCGCAUGUCCGAAUCAACGGAGUCGGCGUUGCAGGAGAAACGCUGAUAAGGGACGAAGGUACAGGCAGUGACAAAGGUCAGCAGUGGGGACCCGGACCGAUCGGCGGCGGCGGAGAAUAUGGCGGAGGCAAUCGUUAUCGAAGACUUCUAGCUUGCGCUGGUCAGCCACUCUCAUAGGCCAGGUCUCACAGCCAUAAAGCAGGAUGGUCCACACAAUCUUUGUCACCGCCGAGAUCUCGCGCCGACCCCACAGAUGGCGUUGUAAGCGCACAAAGGCGGAUCUGGCGGCCCCGAUGCGAUCAACGACUUCUGCUUCUCCUUGCCCCGACGGAACCACAGAGUAGCCGAGAUACGUGAAGGAAUCAACGUUUUUCAGGCUCACGCUCUCCAGUGACAGCGACCGUUGGUCAGCUGGGUUGGUGAGUGAGGACAUGAUCUUGGUCUUAGAGGCAUAGAUGCGCAUUCCAACGGUCAGGGCUGUUCGAUGGAUUUUCAUCAGCGCGUUUUCAACUUCCUCAAACGUGUUUCCCAGUAGAGCGAUAUCAUCUGCGUACGCCAGGUCCGACACUGCGACAUUUCGGCCGACCCUCACACCCUCAAAGCCAUGAAGAGCAGUGUUGAGAAUGUGAUCGAUCGCAUAGUUGAACAAGGUUGGUGAGAGCGCGCAGCCUUUACUACUUCCUGGUCCACAACAGUCACCUCAACAGAGAGGUGUUGCAAAUAGACCUCGGUCCACCUGUUGCGGACCUAGGAUAUAGUGGGUUCAUUUGACCUACCGUGCAUGUUUUUGGAAUGUGGGAGAAAACCUAUCCAGGCAUGGGGAGAACAUGCAAACUCUACAAAAGGAGGGCCAGGAUGCGGAAUCAAACACAUGACUUCUGUAUUGAGCAGCAGACGUACCAGUCAACUACUGUGCCGGCCUGUUUCAGUAUUAAUCUAACAUUAUUUUGCAGGUUAAGUCUGAAAGCUAGAGACGUCAGCAACAACAGUGCUGUGCUUUCCUAUUUUGGAAAAGAAGCCUUUUUUCAUCUUUCCUUGGCCUGAUAACGUCCAUCCAAUUCAGGAAUCCUCUUUGUAGAUUCAGAGUAAAAAAAAAAAAAAUUAAGCCACUCUGAGUGAGACGCCAGGUUAAAGUGGACAAGAGGGCAAGAGUGUGUGUUUGUGUGUGGGUGUGUGUGUGUGUGUGUGUGUGUGUGUGUGUGUGCUGACGUUUGCAUUAUGGGUUGGCAUUCUCAUGACAACAAUGCUGACCAGUCAUCAUUGUGCAUUGACACACCCUCUUCCUUCAGGCACAGGGAGCGAGAACUUCUUUGCACUGCGAUUGUCACGUCGCAGACCACCCCCACCCCAAAUCAGAGCUCCAAGCAGAUAAAAUAAAAAAGCUGAAAAAGUCAUAUAAGGCUUCUCGCAUGAAAAUGACCGUGUGUAUGACAGAACAGCAAAAGGCAAUGGUGUGCUCACUCAAAAUGUCCAAGCAGCUCUGUGAUGGAAUACAAAAUGCACAGUGAAUGAAUUCACUGACACCACUGAUAAUGUGCAGUUGGUGGUGAUUGUGAGAUAUUAUGAUGAGGCAAAGGGGGAUGUCAUUGAAGAUGUAAGAUCUUAGGAAUGCUGAAUAAAAAAAAAAAAUUAAAAAAAGAGAGACAAA